GCACUUGCAGCAGAACAUAUACUAAAGUUGGAACAAUACAGAGAAGAUAAGCAUGGCCCCUGCACAAAGAUGACAUACAAAUUUGUAAAAUGUUCCAUGUUUUG
Molecule: small nuclear RNA, 104 nt
Filed under: Procavia capensis (Cape rock hyrax)
Lineage: Eukaryota; Metazoa; Chordata; Mammalia; Hyracoidea; Procaviidae
Source: RNAcentral